RNAcentral lists this ribosomal RNA (423 nucleotides) under uncultured bacterium. Its description in RNAcentral is "bacterial SSU rRNA". It matches the Rfam family "Bacterial small subunit ribosomal RNA", at positions 376 to 793 of the family's 1533-position model. The record is from RNAcentral.
CGCAAGCCUGAUGCAGCCAUGCCGCGUGUAUGAAGAAGGCCUUCGGGUUGUAAAGUACUUUCAGCAGUGAGGAAGGUGGGUAUGUUAAUAGCAUAUUCAUUUGACGUUAGCUGCAGAAGAAGCACCGGCUAACUCCGUGCCAGCAGCCGCGGUAAUACGGAGGGUGCGAGCGUUAAUCGGAAUUACUGGGCGUAAAGCGCAUGCAGGUGGUUGUUAAGUCAGAUGUGAAAGCCCGGGGCUCAACCUCGGAAUUGCAUUUGAAACUGGCAAACUAGAGUACUGUAGAGGGGGUAGAAUUUCAGGUGUAGCGGUGAAAUGCGUAGAGAUCUGAAGGAAUACCGGUGGCGAAGGCGGCCCCCUGGACAGAUACUGACACUCAGAUGCGAAAGCGUGGGGAGCAAACAGGAUUAGAUACCCUGGUAG